Molecule: long non-coding RNA, 472 nt
Filed under: Mytilus galloprovincialis (Mediterranean mussel)
Lineage: Eukaryota; Metazoa; Mollusca; Bivalvia; Mytilida; Mytilidae
Source: RNAcentral
GAAAAUGAGUGAAAAGAAGCCAAAAUCAAAAUUUAGAAUUUGACCUUGACCUUUGACCUUGACCUAAUUUUCAUUUUUUUGGACCAAGGAUCUUAAAUGAAAAGACCCUAGGUCUCUAUCACUUAUGGUUUACCAGUUAGAAAUGCAUUUCACUUAUAUCAUAUACAAAAGGGGGAAUAACUCUCAUAUGGAAUCUCUAUACGGCUUCGGUCAAGAUAAAACAGCACAUCCUGAGGAUAUAAUGAGCAAUUUACAAAAAUAAAUUUGUCUGUUUCUUGUACGGUUGUGAAGAUUACGCGAUAACAAGAAAAACAGUGUUCGGGGAGAUAACUCUUAUAUGGGAAAGAUUUUGGUUACGCGGUGUCAGUUACAAAAGCGUAAUAACUGUUUGAUAUCAUAUACCAUAUGUCUAAGCGACAUCUUGCGAAACAAAAAAAUUGCGAAGGAACAAAAAGUUGGCGGAAGAAAAAAA